Molecule: ribosomal RNA, 253 nt
Filed under: uncultured bacterium
Lineage: Bacteria
Description: partial 16S ribosomal RNA
Rfam family: Bacterial small subunit ribosomal RNA
Source: RNAcentral
UACGUAGGGGGCAAGCGUUGUCCGGAUUUAUUGGGCGUAAAGAGCGUGUAGGCGGCCAGACAGGUCUGCUGUGAAAACUGGAGGCUUAACCUCCAGACGUCGGUGGAAACCGCAUGGCUAGAGUCCGGAAGAGGAGAGUGGAAUUCCCGGUGUAGCGGUGAAAUGCGCAGAUAUCGGGAAGAACACCCGUGGCGAAGGCGGCUCUCUGGGACGGUACUGACGCUGAGACGCGAAAGCGUGGGGAGCGAACAGG